RNAcentral lists this non-coding RNA (772 nucleotides) under Enterocytozoon bieneusi H348. RNAcentral describes it as "Eukaryotic large subunit ribosomal RNA". It matches the Rfam family "Eukaryotic large subunit ribosomal RNA", at positions 1945 to 2987 of the family's 3401-position model. Lineage: Eukaryota; Fungi; Microsporidia; Enterocytozoonidae. The record is from Rfam by way of RNAcentral.
UCAUUGGCUCUAGCAUGCUAGAACUGGGCUUACAAGGGAAUCUGACUGUUAAUAAAAACAUAGCUUUGUGUGUACGCAAAGUGAAUUCUGCCCAGUGCUUGGGACGUUAAGGAAGUAAUUUUAAGUACGCACCUGUAAACGGCGGGAGUAACUAUGACUCUCUUAAGGUAGCCAAAUGCCUCGUCGCCUAAUUAGCGACGCGCAUGAAUGGAGCAACGAGAUUCCCACUGUCCCUGCUCACAGAUUUGCGAACCUACAGCCAAGGGAACGGGCUUGGGACAUGCAGCGGGGAAAGAAGACCCUGUUGAGCUUGACUCUAGCCAAGCACAGGCCUCUGUGACUAUAUCGUAGCGAGGUGGGAGAAAUGUGUGAGACCACUGACAUAGUCGGCGGGGGCACUCGCAAAGCUUGGUGGGGAGUUUGGCUGGGGCGGCACGACUACUAAAACAUAACGUAGACGUCCAAAGGUAAGCUCCGAGGGGAUGGAAACCACUCCGAGAGUAUAAGGGCAAAAGCUUGCUUUAGUUAUUAAUGUAAAUUAAUAAUACUGGAAACAGGGGCCUAGAGAUCCUCUAUGAAACUAAGCAUAGAGGUGACGGAAAAGUUACCACAGGGAUAACUGGCUUGUGGCGGCCGAGCGUCCAUAGCGACGCCGCUUUUUGAUUCUUCGAUGUCGGCUCUUCCGAGCAUGGUGGAGUAUCAGCCACCAAGUGUGUGAUUGUUCACCAACUAACAGGGAACGUGAGCUGGGUUAGACCUCGCAGACAGUAGU